CCUACGGGAGGCAGCAGUGAGGAAUAUUGGUCAAUGGCCGGAAGGCUAAACCAGCCAAGUCGCGUGAGGGACGACUGCCCUAUGGGUUGUAAACCUCUUUUAUAAGGGAAGAAUAAAUGCUACGUGUAGCAUUAUGCCUGUACCUUAUGAAUAAGCAUCGGCUAACUCCGUGCCAGCAGCCGCGGUAAUACGGAGGAUGCGAGCGUUAUCCGGAUUUAUUGGGUUUAAAGGGUGCGUAGGCGGUUUUUUAAGUUAGUGGUUAAACGUCGGGGCUUCACCUUGAUUUGCCAUUAAUACUGUAAGACUCGAGUUCAGACGAGGUAGGCGGAAUAAGUUAAGUAGCGGUGAAAUGCUUAGAUAUAACUUAGAACUCCGAUAGCGAAGGCAGCUUACCAGACUGCGACUGACGCUGAAGCACGAGAGCGUGGGUAGCGAACAGGAUUAGAUACCCUUGUAGUC
RNAcentral lists this ribosomal RNA (459 nucleotides) under uncultured bacterium. RNAcentral describes it as "partial 16S ribosomal RNA". It matches the Rfam family "Bacterial small subunit ribosomal RNA", at positions 338 to 795 of the family's 1533-position model. The record is from RNAcentral.